Long non-coding RNA from Astatotilapia calliptera (eastern happy), 5054 nucleotides. The record is from Ensembl. NCBI's taxonomy places the organism in Eukaryota, Metazoa, Chordata, Actinopteri, Cichliformes, Cichlidae.
AUGUGCAAUUAUGUUCUUAUAGAGAAUCAGAAGUGAGACAGUUUUAAAUUAAGAAAUCAGUGACACGAUGCAUGAAUUAAUUCUGACUGUAAAAUAUGGAGGCAAUGAAGAAAGCAGCUUACACGCACUGAACAUUAACAAAAAUACAUAGGAAUAGCAAUGAAGACCUGCUUACACGUAUAUACAUGAGAUAAGCUGGUAUUGUUGACCAGAGAAGGGAACCUGGUAGUUUGAGUGCUCAUGACAGUAAUAAAAUGUCUCAGUUGUGUUUUUACAGGAGGAAAAUAAACAGAACUGGAUCAAUUCUCCACGUACAGCAGUCGGAAGGAAAAACCUAUGGGUUAAUUUGACUGGAUCUGAUAAGGCAAGUUUCUGGUUGAAUUGUUCACAGCGCCAUGUCUCCACAAACCUGACAAAGUGGGGCCCUAACUUCUGGCAGAGGACCAGGAAUGCUGUUAAUAAGGUGGGAGUUUAUAAAUUUGGGUUAGUAAAUUGGGGAAAGAAAACUGACGGCUUAAGUGGAGAAUUAUGAAGGAGUCUGACACGCUGCAAAAGCAACAUAUGCAAAUUCACAUACAUAAGCAGAAAACGCAUUAACCCUACAAAGACAAGACAAGCCCAUGAUGAUUAAUGCAUAGACAUUGAUUAAACCUGGCUUAGAACACAAAGAAAAAGAAAAACAGCUUGCUGUUUGUAUGAGUGAUAGAAUGGUGUGAAUGGUUAAUAAAAAACAUUUGAGUAUGUUGAAUCUAGGCAUGUUAAAGUGCAAAAAGUGCAAAUCGUGUGGUUUUAUUUAGAUUUUCGGUGUAUUGAGGAGGUGGAAUUAUGUGGUGAUGACUGACUGAUUCUGUCAGUUAGGUUUGGGUGGCUGUUGUUUUUGUUUUAAAUAGAGGGAGUUUUAGGAAACACGGACAUGUCCGAAAGGGGCCCAUUAUUUUUGUAACAGUGCACUCAAAGAAAACCUGUCAGGUGAUUUUGUUUUGUUUUUGUGUUUUCAGGAGCUAAUAAUCAGCUCUCUUUUUCUCAUUUUUGUUCUAAGCAGGCCUGCAACAGUGAAUAACAGCACAAAUUAUUCGGCUACCGGUGGGGAUCUGAUUAGGUCGCAAGUCCCUGUCUAAAGGAUUGUCGCGAUUCAAUCCAGUCAAAAACAUAAGGAACUAUUUUCCGAUGGAAAAUAAAAAUGAAGGAUCCCAGUUUGAAUAAAUCUGGACAAACAAUUUGCUUUUACUAGAGAAAGUUUCUGUUUUAUUGAGUGGGGUUAUAUUAUGGGAUUAUAGUAUAUUGUUGGGAGAAUCCUAAAGGUUGAAGAAGGAGAAUAGGUUUGUUUUCUUUUUGAUUUUUAGAAGUAGUGGCUAUAAUGUAGGCGUACAUCUAAAGUUAUUACAUAGAUUUAUUUUUGGGAUAAAGGGGAGAACUUAACAAGGAGAUGAUUUCUCCUAUAUACAUACUGCAUUCUGUGCCCUUAAAGGAGUUGUGGCUCAAUUCGUCUCUUGAGGGUCACGAGCCUUUGGCUGGCGCUAUGAUUGGCCAAUCUACUGUGAGGAGGAUAUGAGUCAUUGUAGGAUUGCACGCGCUUACAGACACAGAGUCCACGAGAGCAUUGAUUCCAGGCAAAAGGCCUCAAAUUCGUUUAGCUUUUAACUGAACUUAAAGACGGACCAAGGAGGAAGGAAAGCAUAGAUUUUGGUUAAGUCUGAUAAACUAGAAUUAGAAUGUAUUGUUACAUUAAAAGGAGCCAAAUGAAAUAAAAAGAGUUAUAUCAAAACAGGUUAUAACACCGGAAAUGUGAGGUAAAAGUGAAGUUAGUGUUAACACACAGGAGUUGUUUCUGGGUAGCAUUUAGCUAUGAUGAAAUUUAUGCAGGAGCAAUUGCUUAUAUGCUUAGACUCAAUUGAUUAAAGUGGAAAUGGGGUUUUGUUUCCUUUGCAGUAGAUCUCGGGACCACAAGGGAGGGUUAGAGCGAGGACACAACCUAUGGCGCUGAAUAAUAGAACAUCAUCACCAUUGCAUUAAUAAUAUAAUUUACACCACAAAUAUAAUUUAAUUUGGAGGUUUAAACAGGGUGUGUCUUUCAGAAAGACUAAGGUGCAUUCUUUUACUAAGCUCUUAGUGGGGGUUUUUGAUGAAAACAUUUAUUCAGCCUCUAGUCGGGUAAAAGGUCAGAAGGGCAACGGGUGAAUUGAUUGGGAGACCAUUUGAGGACGACACAUGCAAUGGAGUAAUAUAGGAUUAGCUCAUUAGGAUCAAACACAAUUUUCAGUAGGUAAUACUGUUAACAUAAUCAUGUCUGGUUUAGUGAGUGGGUUGAGAACUGAUACAUAGAUGACUGAAUUAGUAUUGUUUUGGGGAACGUGUUACCAGGAGCAACUAGGAUCCUGCAGCCAGAGUCGAAAUGACUGAAAUUCAAUGAGGGAAGCUAGGAGACGUUUGUUGUGUUUUAUUUUGGGGUUUUUGAACUAUGGGGAAGGUUUUACCCUGCCACCAAGUUUUAGAGUUGGUAUUUAUUUUUUACCUGUAAGAGAAAGAAUAUUCAGUGGCAAGUCCGAAGACCCGGGCUUCUGUUUAUUUAUUUUUGAUUUUGUUCUAUAUUUUGAACAGUGCACUGAUUUUUGUUUCUGGAUCUUUUCUUUAAGCAGAUCUGCACAACGGAAAUUACAAGCAUUACACGUCGGCGAGAAAAUUGUUGUAAGUGAGUUUCUCCGCAUUGAAAUGGGUUCUGGAGGAAACACUUGUGGGGACAAUUAGAAACGAGAGUCCCUCUCUAAAAGAGGAUUCAGCGAGGUAAUCCAAAUUUAAAUUCUUGUCUUCUUUUUGAGAUGACGUCAUUUUGCUGAGGGCGGACAUCUAAAUGCGGCGAUGGUUUCCACAAUCAGCAAAGAAAGAAAGAAUGGAGGAAUGGAAGAAUGAAUGGAUGAAAGACUGGAAAUAAAAACAAACUGACUGACUGGUAAAAGAUGACAAGACUUGACCAUGACUCAAGGUUAACCACCUCCACCUGGAUAGGACAAAAGGGUGGACGAAUCUAUGUGUUUCUUUCUACAGGAGCAGAAAGAUGACAGCGACAUCUGAGAUUGCACGACGAUUUAACUUUCUGUGUAUGUGAAAUUGUGUGUACACACCUGCGCAGCGUUACUAUUUACAUUUUUCUUCCCUACAGGGGUACAGUUUUUAAUGUUUUUCUAUUACAGGAUUUCUGGGCGGAUGUGUGAAGAAACGGUGUUUAUGGGUUAGGAGUCGGUGAUGCUAUUACACUGUAUUCUGGUGAGAGUGUUGGGGGAGACACACCCUGUCUUGAAAACUGUGAUUCUUGUACAGGAAAUGUUUUAUAGCACCUAUGGAAUGAGGAUGCCUGACUACGGUCAAUGUGCUGCUAAUGUUUGCUUUGCUUUGGUGAGAAGGGUGCAGUAGAAAACAGACAAGUGACAUGAAAACAAAGAGUAAUAAUAACAAAUAACAAAUUUGGGGACAGUUUAACCUAGAGCCCACUAACUGGCCAUUAGGGGUUCUCUCUCUUGAAGUAACAUUGCCCAAAAGGUGAAUAAAACAAAUUGUGGCAAUAAUAGUGAUUUAAUGAUUGGAGAAAUCUGAACAUGAUACUUGUCUGUUGUGCUGAAUAUUUUAUUACUCUUAUGAUUUGCAGGUGGUUGUAAAUAAGCUGUUUGCUUUAACAGGUUUGCUUUUUAGUUGAAUUGCAAAAUACAACUAGAACGAUUAAUUGAGACUAAUGGCAACUAACCUUAGGGUUACGUGCAUGCACGCUUACACACAUAAGCAUGGCAUAGGAUUGGAAUAAACAAAGUCAACAACAUUAGGUUAGGAGAGCCAGCGCAGGAGAGGUGUUGGUUUUCUGUCUCUUGCAGAAAAGGGAGCAGACACCAGACGGGGACACGGAGAUAUGGGGACCCUUCACAGCAACUGGGGUCAAGUGUCAUGGCCUUGGGGCUCCUUGAGAAGAUGGAUCCCAUAAUCACAGCGAUAACCAGGAAGGGGUUGGCGAAAUCUAGGAAUACCAGAGACCAACGAGGUUCGAGAGGCUUUUGGCAAAAAGGGGGACACGGCGGUGACAACGGACAACAAACCCACAGAUCUUUGUUUGAAAGUGUGGCAGAAUAAUCCCCAGAUCUGUGUAACGACUGAAGGGUGGUCUACCCCGGAGGUCGAAGAAAGAAGAAUCCGAGGGCGUUUCUUCACUCCAAGAGGAGGAAUGUGACCAGGAGAUAUUUUAUUUUGUAUUCUUAUGAUCACAGUUAUAAGCAGAAGUAUCAAUCAUUAAUCAUUUACCAUUGUUGAACCAGUUGACAGAAUAAUCUUUGAACUGCAUCUAUGUUAAUAUUAAUCUACACAGAUUAUCAGUACUUUAGUCAGUCUAUUGUUGUUCGGCAUUAUUCUUGUUAUUUGCUUAAAGCUGUUUUACAGUUCGGUAAUCACUCAGAAGCCUGUGGUCCUGCUGGACCCUGCCUUAGUUCUCUGCACGUACGCCGGCCUGUAACCACAUGCACGCACUUAUAUAACAUACGCACGUUCACAUACACAUUUAGUAAUCAUAGGAGGGUCGUCUGAGGACAGUUUUCUGAUGGAUAUACUUUCACAAAAGGCACAAAUGUAGUACACACUUGUUUUUCUCUAAAAACUAGUAGUUCAUGUCCAUAUUAGGUAAACUCUCAGAACAGGCCCAAACUGUUAUCAGUUCCAGUAAUAUCUAACUGUGAGGUCGGCUCAGGACAUGCUCUCUGUUCGAUAUACACACACAAUAGACACGAAUAGAGAUACACACCACACACACACACGGUUUCUCUGAGUGCUGGACUGAGUGGAAACAUCGGGAGGCCAUAUAGGGGAACUUUCUGAGUUCUCCCUGACUGAUACCGAUCAUGUGACUUGACGUCAUCAUUGUAAUAAAACCCUUGUGAAGAAACUGUUCGGGGGAGAUCAGCGCUUAGAGCCUUGUACUGCUCAUCUUCCCCAUAUGUACAUAUGUAUAAUAAAAUCACCUAUUCUGACAUCCACUGAGACCAUGCAGCCGUUUGUCUUUUCCUCAAAUUCGAACCAUGACA